UACGUAGGGUGCAAGCGUUAAUCGGAAUUACUGGGCGUAAAGCGUGUGCAGGCGGGGUGACAAGUGGUGUAUGAAAUCUCCGGGCUAAACCUGGAGGGGUUAUGCCAGACUGUCAUUCUAGAGUGCGAGAGAGGGGCGUGGAAUUCCGGGUGUAGUGGUGAAAUGCGUAGAGAUCCGGAGGAACACCAGUGGCGAAGGCGGCUUCCUGGUCUGCGACUGACGCUGUGGCGCGAAAGCUAGGGGAGCGAACGGG
RNAcentral lists this ribosomal RNA (253 nucleotides) under uncultured bacterium. RNAcentral's name for it is "partial 16S ribosomal RNA". It matches the Rfam family "Bacterial small subunit ribosomal RNA", at positions 524 to 776 of the family's 1533-position model. The record is from RNAcentral.